Molecule: long non-coding RNA, 373 nt
Filed under: Prunus persica (peach)
Lineage: Eukaryota; Viridiplantae; Streptophyta; Magnoliopsida; Rosales; Rosaceae
Description: long non-coding RNA (PPER_LNC007555)
Source: RNAcentral
AAGCAGCAAAACAGAGAAAAGACGAGAAUCAUGGAGAUUCCUUCGAUCUGAACAACUCUGAGAGGGGAAGCAACCUCUUCUGUCGCUGCCACCUGAAGAAAGGAUCUUGCCACCGCUGUACAAUCAACAAAACAAAACCAAAUUUUCACAAAGAAGAAAAACAAACGCAUUCAAAAUUACAGAUAAAAUACAGAUAGAGAAUUGUACGAACGGGUUGCCAUGUUGUAAUUUCACGGAGAGAGCAAAAUAAGAGGAGAGACAGAGCAAUAGUAUAAGAUGGGAAGCUUUGUCUCUCUCGGGUGCGGAGGAACCUCUGUGUAUAGUGAAUGUGAAGAUGAUUGCUAAACCCUAGAUGUCUUUUUUUGGUAAUUAG